RNAcentral lists this ribosomal RNA (594 nucleotides) under Vishniacozyma carnescens. RNAcentral describes it as "eukaryotic LSU rRNA". It matches the Rfam family "Eukaryotic large subunit ribosomal RNA", at positions 68 to 657 of the family's 3401-position model. Lineage: Eukaryota; Fungi; Basidiomycota; Tremellomycetes; Tremellales; Bulleribasidiaceae. The record is from RNAcentral.
AAAUGGAUCUUAGUACGGCGAGUGACCGGGAUGAGCUCAAAUUUGAAAUCUGGCGUCUUUCAGGCGUCCGAGUUGUAAUCUAUAGAGGCGUUUUCCGCGCCGGACCGCGUCCAAGUCUCUUGGAAUAGAGUAUCAAAGAGGGUGACAAUCCCGUACUUGACGCGACAACCGGUGCUCUGUGAUACGUUCUCAAUGAGUCGAGUUGUUUGGGAAUGCAGCUCUAAAUGGGUGGUAAAUUCCAUCUAAGGCUAAAUAUUGGCGAGAGACCGAUAGCGAACAAGUACCGUGAGGGAAAGAUGAAAAGCACUUUGGAAAGAGAGUUAAACAGCACGUGAAAUUGUUAAAAGGGAAACGAUUGAAGUCAGUCGUGUGGGAAGUAUUCAGCCGUCUCUGGCGGUGUAUUUGCUUCUCACGGGUCAACAUCAGUUUGAUCCGGUAGAAAAAGGCGGGAAGAAGGUGGCACCCUCGGGUGUGUUAUAGCUUCCUGUCAUAUGUGCCGGACCAGACUGAGGAACGCAGCUUGCAGCAAUGCCGGGGUUCGCCCACGUACAAGCUUAGGAUGUUGACAUAAUGGCUUUAAACGACCCGUCUUAA